RNAcentral lists this long non-coding RNA (2566 nucleotides) under Malus domestica (apple). RNAcentral's name for it is "long non-coding RNA (MDOM_LNC019924)". The record is from RNAcentral. Lineage: Eukaryota; Viridiplantae; Streptophyta; Magnoliopsida; Rosales; Rosaceae.
GCGGGUAUGAACCCAUUUCACACGUGAUGACAGAGCAUAAGUACAGUACAGUAAAAUAGGGUGAGAAUUAUACCAUCAAGGGUAAUCGUCUACCCCAAGAUUUGCUAAUAAUCCUCGUUGGUAUGAAAACUCUGCUACUAGAACCUGGAGGGGUGAAAAACAGGGUGAGUGGGCCUAAAAAUAAAGUUUUAAUAAAAACCUUUUGAAAACGUUAUAUCCCCUUGCCAUAAAACCUGCAUAGUUUCCAGAAAAUACUACUAUGUAGGUAUGAAAACCAAUGCACAAGAGAAACAAAAACUGAAGUAUGCCAUGUCAUAAUAUCUCAGCAAUAAUAAAUGUAAGCCAGGUGCGAAACCAAUAUAAAAUAGUAUGCCAGUCGGAGUCACCUAAUGUGACCUGUACAACUAGACCUAUAGCUCAUCAACAUAUGUCUGCACACGAGUCGGAAUCACCUAAUGUGACAUGUACGAAAGGCUGGGUGUAAAUAAGUACGCUCAAGUGCUAUGAUCACGUGAAAGUUGAGCGAUAGAUCGCGGGUCACCUACGAGUCGGAACCACCUAUUGUGGUAUAUACGAUAGGCUAGCACCAAAACUUGGAUCUAAGGUAAGCGUGUGGUGCGGGAGGUGAACAAUCAUGUGAAAGUUGUGCCCUAGCCUCGGAUGAACACUAACACCGGGUUGCAGCAUAAUAAGCUCUAAAUACAUAAAUAUAUAGCAAUAUGCAAUGCAACAAGACCAAUCACAUGCUAACUCACCUGAAACUUACUUGAGCCUCCGCAUCAUCAAAUAGUAUAAUUCACAAUUCAUACAAAUGCAACAAUAUAGUAAUAAGCGGUAUAGACAUGGCAUACAAGGCAUAAAUUCAUUUAAAAAUGUUUUCUGGAAAUCGUAAAGCUUAUAUAUAGAAAACAAAUGCCCACUCACCUGAGGUUCGCGCUACAACUCUGUAGCACGAAUAUCAAGGCAUCACAAACGAUCGUCGCCUAGAACAAAUAUUCAGUCACGUCUCAAAAUUCUUAUCAAUAGAACAUGUUACUUACAUAAAACACAUCCCCAAGGACUUUCUAAAAUGAUUUGAGACCCAUUGACCAAAAGUCAGUCGUCGGUCAAAGAUCGACGGUAGGGUCCACAAUCCUUACAUAACUCGAUCCGGAAGAUCCGCAUCAUAGAUUUCUGAUCCGUAACUUCUAAAGAUCCACAUUAUGCUUCUAAAACUUCACACUAAAGUUUCAUUAUGAUCUAACGGUUGGAUCUCCGUCAAUUGCAAGUGCAAGUGGCAGUUAAUGUUUUAUUUUAUGAACUUACAAAUCCAAUUCGGGAAGAUCUAUACCUCAGAUUCCCAAUCCGUAAGUUCCUAACAUCCUCAAAUAUUAUGUAUUAUAAUUUAUCAAAGUUUGGUGACAAUCCAAUGGUCGGAUCGUUGAAUACUAUAAUAAUCAAGUGGCAGACCUUAAUGGAACUAGGUUUAAACGAUGGAAAUUCGUCAAUCGAACUUCACGUACGGAAUUGGAGAAUCAAAUUGAACCUAGGAAGGUUAGGGAAUGCCUCGGCCCACGUGCCACCGCCACGUGCCACCGUACACGGCGGUCGGCCGCCUUGACUCAACGGAAAAAUUAACUAUUUCUAAAAAUUCUCAAACUUCACAAAAAUGAAGAUCUUAGAAAGCAGAGCAAGUUUUAUACCUAUGACCAAGUCCAAUUUGGCCAGGAAAAGCCUCAAAUCACCAUGAACUCGUCGGGACCCUAGAAUUUGGGUGUUUCUUGAUUCGUCCUCAAAUCAACUCCGACACUCCAACCAAUGAUUGGGAAUUGUUUCUAAGCUCAAGGGAAGUUGUUUGAUGGUGAGGAUCAAUGGGAUUGCAAUAAAAAAUGGUGGAUCGCCGCCUAGGAACUCAUGGGAUUGUCGUCAGAGCCAACGGCUUCGAACUCCAUGAAAUAGGGCCCAUUUCCCUCGAUUUUGGGGUGAAACAUGAGGGAGGAAGGUCGUGGAGUUGGUUCUAAGUGGUUAGAUGGCGUGAUUUGCUGGAAAAACCAACAAAAAACCAUCAGAGAAGACAAGAAAACUGGGUCGGGUCGGCAAGGAGGAACAGAGUCAAGGGUGAUCCGAUGCUCCUCCACUCUCUCAUUUCCCCUUCUUUCUUCUCUCCCCCAUUGGUCACUCUCUUCAUUCUCUUCUUUCUGAUUGGGCAUCUCGUCCCUCUUUUCUCUCCUUUAUAUUUCAUCUCCACCGCCCAUCUUUUCUUCCCUUUAAUCUGUGCCACACAUAUAUGGCUUUCCAGAUUUUGCUCCAAAAAUCUGGAGCAUUCCAGAAAAUAUUCAAAUGACUAUUUUGUCCCUAUUUUUCCUCACCCAUAACUUAUUCGUUAUAGCUCCAAAUCACGUUUCGUUUGUGCUCACGUGCUCAUAUCGAUGAGUACUACCUGAAUAUGCCAAGAUAACAGAUUUUACGUGAUAUGAUAAGACGGUCAACAAAAGUCAACGUAUUUGCCUCGAAGGCAUUUCCGUAAAUUCACAUUUAAAAAUUAUAAAGACUGUAAUUUUUGGGGAUAGGUCGUUACAAAAAGUAU